RNAcentral lists this ribosomal RNA (578 nucleotides) under Streptomycetaceae bacterium RDB-174. Its description in RNAcentral is "bacterial SSU rRNA". It matches the Rfam family "Bacterial small subunit ribosomal RNA", at positions 102 to 694 of the family's 1533-position model. Lineage: Bacteria; Bacillati; Actinomycetota; Actinomycetes; Kitasatosporales; Streptomycetaceae. The record is from RNAcentral.
ACGGGUGAGUAACACGUGGGCAAUCUGCCCUGCACUCUGGGACAAGCCCUGGAAACGGGGUCUAAUACCGGAUACGACCUUCCUCUGCAUGGGGGUUGGUGGAAAGCUCCGGCGGUGCAGGAUGAGCCCGCGGCCUAUCAGCUUGUUGGUGGGGUAAUGGCCUACCAAGGCGACGACGGGUAGCCGGCCUGAGAGGGCGACCGGCCACACUGGGACUGAGACACGGCCCAGACUCCUACGGGAGGCAGCAGUGGGGAAUAUUGCACAAUGGGCGAAAGCCUGAUGCAGCGACGCCGCGUGAGGGAUGACGGCCUUCGGGUUGUAAACCUCUUUCAGCAGGGAAGAAGCGCAAGUGACGGUACCUGCAGAAGAAGCACCGGCUAACUACGUGCCAGCAGCCGCGGUAAUACGUAGGGUGCGAGCGUUGUCCGGAAUUAUUGGGCGUAAAGAGCUCGUAGGCGGCCUGUCGCGUCGGAUGUGAAAGCCCGGGGCUUAACCCCGGGUCUGCAUUCGAUACGGGCAGGCUAGAGUGUGGUAGGGGAGAUCGGAAUUCCUGGUGUAGCGGUGAAAUGCGCAGA